Molecule: long non-coding RNA, 1630 nt
Organism: Anser brachyrhynchus (Pink-footed goose)
Lineage: Eukaryota; Metazoa; Chordata; Aves; Anseriformes; Anatidae
Source: Ensembl
AUGAAACAUAAACUCUACGCCUUCACCAAGCAGCAAACAGCCACUGUUUGUUAUUCAGAAGGAUUUGACCAGAGUUUGGAUGAUGUGCUUGAAAACUCGGCUACUGAUUUGCUCCUUGUGGCAUCAUCCCAACACUCCUUGAAAAAAAAAAGAAGGAAAAAAAAACACUUCCUCAUUCCUACAGCAGCACUGACUGAAACAGCAAGUAUCAGAGACUGUGAUCUCAAGUGGGCUUCAACUAGUCCCGGAGAGCAGUUAAAGGAGCAGGACCAAAACCAGAGCAGGCGGUCCGAAACCCCUGAAGUUCAGCUACCAAGGACACAACCAUGCGCGGCCUCGGCACGAACACGACUACCACUGCUCCACAUCAAUGCCACAACCCAGCCUCUCUCUCUGGGAGCUGCCCCAGACCUACCAAUGGCACCAUGCAGCCUGCCUGUAAAGAGAGGUUUGGCAGUCAAGCCUUGCCCUCCCCUUGUGUGCUCACAGGAGGAUCAUCCCUUCCUAAAUAUUUGCUUGCAUGGUGGGUGCUGACCUCAGAGGGGAGUUUCCGGACACUAACAGAGCGAGCAGGUCACCAUCUCCAUUCAGUUCAACUGGUUCGCCUGCUAGUUCUGAACAAGGCAACAAACAAUCAAACAAAUUAAAAAUAUCUAUAUAUAGCCACAACUGGGGAGAUGACAACCCACCUGACAGUGGGCAUUCUCUCCUCCUGUGAAAAAAGUGACCAUCUUCAUUCUACCUUCCAGGAGAACGGGGACAUUUUACCCAGACACAAUGGUUCCCACUAAACUCAGGUUACAGCUCCCACAACGCAGUCUGUAGCUCGAGAGGCUGUCACGCUCUCAGCAGAGGAUGCAACACAGCUCUGUGCGCUGGCAGGCAAUGCGUACAUUGCAUGGGUUUCCUAAAUCUACAACAAGUACACAUCCAGUAGCAGGGAGGCAACCUUACAAUAACAGUGCCAGAUCUGCACAGUUCCUGUCUGCUUCAUUCCAGCUAAUGAUGACAGAGUGUUAGACAUAGGGCCCAGCAUCUCUUCAGCUGAAACGAAAGGAAACUAAUCCACAUCUGAGCUCAGAAAAAAAUACGAAGGAACCCAUCCUCAGGUUUUAAGUGCUUUUACUGGAAUGGGUCAUACAUUGGUGACAGGCAGGUGGCUGCAGGAACAGGAAUUAACAGAAGCGUGUUGGGUCACAGUUAAUGCUGGAACCUCUGAGAAGGGUGCAUGGUCUCCAUGGGAUGCCAAAGCCUCCAGAGAUAACUAAGGAAGAAAGGCAGGAGCCACAAGGGAAGAAUAUUAUCAGAGACUGCUCUGCCAGAAAACAGCUCUUGAGAUGCAGAUAGAGAAAUGUCAGAUGUUCAGCUCACGGCCAAUCCCACUCGGCAGGCAACAUCCCCAGCAGCACAGUGGGUGCUCUGGUGCUCUGCCAACCUCUUCCCUGGACGCACUGAAUGGAAAACAACUCAGGACUCCUGUUCACGUUGCCCAUCUCAGACCUUCAGCACUAACUAGGCUGCGUGUUCACACUGCAGAAAGAUCUGAUACACUGAAUGGAAUCAAACCUUUACUAAUUAUAUCUGAGCAUGUGGGCUCUGUGCCCAAAAUAAACUGUCCUGUCAUGCUACA